UACGGAGGGGGCCAGCGUUGUUCGGAAUUAUUGGGCGUAAAGGGCGCGUAGGCGGCCAAACAAGUCUGACGUGAAAUCCCUCGGCCCAACCGGGGAACUGCGUUUGAAACUGUUUGGCUCGAGUCCGGGAGAGGGUAGCGGAAUUCCCAGUGUAGCGGUGAAAUGCGUAGAUAUCGGGAGGAACACCGGUGGCGAAGGCGGCUACCUGGACCGGUACUGACGCUGAGGCGCGAAAGCUAGGGUAGCAAACAGG
Molecule: ribosomal RNA, 253 nt
Filed under: uncultured bacterium
Lineage: Bacteria
Description: partial 16S ribosomal RNA
Rfam family: Bacterial small subunit ribosomal RNA
Source: RNAcentral